This is a long non-coding RNA of Brassica oleracea var. oleracea, 954 nucleotides long. RefSeq lists it as uncharacterized. The record is from RefSeq and is a predicted model, not a curated record. Lineage: Eukaryota; Viridiplantae; Streptophyta; Magnoliopsida; Brassicales; Brassicaceae. The transcript is spliced from 9 exons.
CCUAAAUCUCCAGGAAGAAGAUGAAAGCUGCAGUUUUUCCGUCUACAUUUUGUAUAUUAAGAUUUAGUCAAUUAUUUUUGCAAUAUUUUAAUAAACAAAAUUGGGAACAUGCAUUCAGGAGCACCCCAUGCUGCUAGCUGAGCCUCCUUUAAACACUCAACAGCAGAGAGAGAGAGAUAAGUUUGAUUUAUCUGCUUAUAGAUAUUUAUUUUUGUCUUAUAUUAGUUCAUCUUAAUUUGAGUGUGUUACUGAUGUUCUCAAAUUAUAUGCUUGACAGGGCGGCAGAGCUAGCUAAUGUUUGAAAAAUACAAAGCUCCAGCAUUGUUCAUGGCUAAGAAUCAUGUUCUCACGUCCUUUGCUACUGGGCGUGCUACCUCUUUGGUUGUUGAGUGUUGACUGCGGUGGAGGAUCGAUCCACAACUAUUGCACCGGUGCAUGAAGGUUAUGUCCUUCAAAAGGCGGUUGUAUCAGCUCCAAUUGGAGGGGAGUUUCUCACUGACUGCUUACUGAAAAGCUUGGAGAGUAAAGGAAUUAAAAUAAGACCUAGAUACUCUUUCACAAGAAAGGAAGUACGAGCAGUGGAAUUCCAGGUUGAAGAUGUAGAUUUUCCUGACACCACGGAAAGCUACAAGCUCUUCUGCCAGAGGAUGAUAGUGGGUGACAUCAAGAUUGUUAUAUAUGUGCAGUGUGUGGAUAGGAGGGAGUAUAUUGGCACCACUAGGCUCAUUCCAACAGAUGUGGUUCUCCAAAUCCGAGUACGAGGAGCAUGGCGCUUCAUACAUUCGGAGAAAGUGCACUACCUUAGACCAUGAUUAUAGUUGCACGGUUUCAUAAGUCGAUUUCUAUUUUAUUUUUAUUUUUUUGUUUUUGCUGAUUAAAAAAAAAAAAUUAAAAAUCGAACCAAUCGCGGAUCGCCACGUGUCAGUAGGGUCCACGAACAUUGCAAAAAUUACA